This 557-nucleotide ribosomal RNA is filed under the name uncultured Rhizobium sp. RNAcentral's name for it is "bacterial SSU rRNA". It matches the Rfam family "Bacterial small subunit ribosomal RNA", at positions 102 to 694 of the family's 1533-position model. Lineage: Bacteria; Pseudomonadati; Pseudomonadota; Alphaproteobacteria; Hyphomicrobiales; Rhizobiaceae. The record is from RNAcentral.
ACGGGUGAGUAACGCGUGGGAAUCUACCGUGCCCUGCGGAAUAGCUCCGGGAAACUGGAAUUAAUACCGCAUACGCCCUACGGGGGAAAGAUUUAUCGGGGUAUGAUGAGCCCGCGUUGGAUUAGCUAGUUGGUGGGGUAAAGGCCUACCAAGGCGACGAUCCAUAGCUGGUCUGAGAGGAUGAUCAGCCACAUUGGGACUGAGACACGGCCCAAACUCCUACGGGAGGCAGCAGUGGGGAAUAUUGGACAAUGGGCGCAAGCCUGAUCCAGCCAUGCCGCGUGAGUGAUGAAGGCCUUAGGGUUGUAAAGCUCUUUCACCGGAGAAGAUAAUGACGGUAUCCGGAGAAGAAGCCCCGGCUAACUUCGUGCCAGCAGCCGCGGUAAUACGAAGGGGGCUAGCGUUGUUCGGAAUUACUGGGCGUAAAGCGCACGUAGGCGGAUAUUUAAGUCAGGGGUGAAAUCCCAGAGCUCAACUCUGGAACUGCCUUUGAUACUGGGUAUCUUGAGUAUGGAAGGGGUAAGUGGAAUUCCGAGUGUAGAGGUGAAAUUCGUAGA